This is a long non-coding RNA of Zeugodacus cucurbitae (melon fly), 1110 nucleotides long. RefSeq lists it as uncharacterized. Lineage: Eukaryota; Metazoa; Arthropoda; Insecta; Diptera; Tephritidae. The record is from RefSeq and is a predicted model, not a curated record. The transcript is spliced from 2 exons.
AUGAAGAAUUGGAUAUGGUGAAAAUUUUGGGCGGCAUCACUCCGUUAAAAGUGGCCCUCUUUUUUGACCUCGAUGACAAGGCAUUCACGGAAGAAUUACUUGAUGCUGAGGAAUCGGAUAUUCGCCCAUUAAAAAUCGUCCAUCUAUCGACAACUUUAACUUGUUUUUAAAUGACGGCCUACUAACAAAUGAGGGCCACUGACCAGUGAAAAUGUUGUGGUCAAUUUAAUAUUGCCUAGCAAUGAGAUCCAUUAUGCAGCUAUGGAGCAACACGUGUCAAAUUUGUCAAUAAUAUAUAUAGUAUAUAUGUGUAUAUGUAGUGUAAGUAUAUUUUGUGUAUUCAUUAUCUUGAUGUACAUAUGUGUAUCUAUGCUGACGGUGCUUGUGCAGAAACAAUAAUUUGUAUUUCCAACUUGUAUAUUCCUUACCACGUCCAACACCCAUUCAAUCGUAAACAAAUGUACACUAGAUAAUUAUAUCCGGAAGUUUUUAGUUAAUGCAUUUUAUUUCGUUAUGGUUGAAAUUAUUUUUCUAAGUUUGUUGUGGCUUGUAAAUUGUUUAAAAAUAAAUCUUAAGUUUACUUCAAAUGGACUAGUAAAAUUUCACUUAACUAAUGCACCAAAUCGCUUUACGUUGUAUUUCAUGGAUACUUAUAAAGUGAUCACAAAUUAUGUCCUUUUGAAACAAUGCAUAACUUGAAUUUGAAAUAUAAAUAUAAUAUUAAACAUAUGUAUGUUACAUAUCCAAUUACAUAUAUGUAUGUAUGUAUAUGUAUUUAGCACAUUUCAGGCAGACAUAAUUAGUAGUAAUGCGAUCUAUGAUAUACGUAGGUAUGUAUUAUAUGUAUGUAUGUACAUGCAUAAGUACUUACUCAUCUAUGUUAGUUGACAUUAUAAAAUUCAUAUAGGUAUUGAAUAUACAUACACACUUCAGCUAUUCAUAAUACAAUUAGUACGUUUGCUCCCGUUUCAGUUGUUAUUCAGUUUUGUUAUUGUACACUAUUUGUUGGGUAAUUGACUACGAUGCUAUUAAAAACGGAAUUUACGCAAAGACAGGCAUGAACAGAACAAGGCCUUCCAUAGUAGAAUUUUUAUAUUUUUACAUCGUUUC